GGAAAGAAAGGCAUUGUGGUCUCUGUGGUUUGGUGACAAUGAAAUAAAGCCAAACGACAUGUUGUAGGAGUAUUAUUGGAACAGCAAACAACUGGCGCUCGCGUGUGAAUCCAGUCCGUUCAUCUGCGCGCGCCGCCUGGUGUCUUCCAAAGGCGCGAGCGCUUUAAGCGACUCUGGGACACAUUUUGUCAGCAACCAGCAAGCAUGGCUCUGUGGUAAUAGAAUAGCCCGUGUAAUUUGACACUUCAACUUGCCAUGCACUACGUUAGUUGAUUCAGACAGUCACACUAACGAAACGCCGUGCGCUUUUCUCUCACUGUUUGUGAAGUGUGAGGAGAGAAAACAGAUCGCAACUUCAAAUCCAGGAGAUUUUCGGCGCAGUGCUGUGAUUGGACCUGAAAGUGCGGUGGACCCUAGUGUAGACGGGAGCUUGCAGAGGGACCUUCCCCACGGACUAUAUGAAGGGAAGGGAGGGGAGGGGGAGGGGGGGCUGCUGACGUUACUCCCAGCUUGCAGAACACACAGAGACAAGAACUUUAAUGGCUUCCAGGUAGAGAGAAAGAGGCAGCAGUCAAGAUGAACUCGAUUCCUUCGAUGGACAGGCACAUACAGCAGACCAAUGACAGGCUGCUGUGCAUCAAACAGCACUUACAGAAUCCGGCCAAUUUCCAGACAGCGGCCACGGAGCUACUGGACUGGUGUGGAGACCCACGAGCCUUCCAGCGGCCAUUUGAGCAAAGCCUUAUGGGAUGCUUGACGGUUGUAAGUCGUGUGGCAGCACAGCAGGGUUUUGACUUGGACCUCGGCUAUCGGCUCCUGGCCGUGUGUGCGGCAAACCGCGACAAGUUCACCCCUAAGUCGGCAGAAACCACCACCUGCAGGAGAUGUCAGAGUGACACAGCUCUCCUGUCGUCCUGGUGCGAGGAGCUGGGACGGCUGCUCUUGUUGCGGCAUCAGAAGAAUCGUCAGAGCGAUCCACCGGGCAAAGUACCCUUGCAGCCACCCAUGAACUCCAUGAAGCCCUCGCUCUCACAUGGUGAUGGGUCCUUUCCAUAUGACAGUGUUCCCUGGCAACAAAACGCUAACCAGGCCCCGGGUUCACUGUCGGUAGUUACGACGGUGUGGGGAGUUACCAAUACAUCACAAAGUCAGGUCUUGGGUAACCCCAUGGCCAAUACUAACAAUCCCAUGAACCCUGGAGGCAAUACACUAGGGACGAGUAUGUCAGGCAACAACCCAGGGAUCAACUCACCUCAGUUCCCUGGCCAACAACAACAGUUUUCAGCCAAAGGGGGAUCCAACCAGGCCUACAUGCAGCAAAGCAUGUAUGGGCGUCCAGGGCACCCGGGAGGAGGAGGCUUUGGUGGAAGUUACCCAGGUGGGCCAAAUGCUCCGGGUGGCAUAGGCAUGCCCCCCCAUACACGACCGCCCUCUGAUUUCACCCAACCUGCUGCUGCUGCCGCCGCCGCCGCCGUCGCUGCUGCCGCCGCCACCGCAACAGCUACUGCCACAGCAACCGUGGCAGCCCUGCAAGAGACCAAUAAAGACAUGAACCAGUAUAACCAGGUCUGCUCCUCUUUCCAGAUGGGGCCUACGCAAGGCUACAAUAACCAGUUCAUGAACCAGCCAGGGCCCCGUGGACCCCCGUCCAUGGCUGGAGGCAUGAACCCAGCUGGUAUGGGUGGUGGCAUGAAUAGCUCCAACAUGAGUGGCCCACCAAUGGGUAUGAACCAGCCCAGAGGCCCAGGAAUGGGGCCCUUCGGUGGCCACGGCCAAAGGAUGCCUCAACAGGGUUACCCUGGACCCAGACCUCAGUCCAUGCCCAUGCAGGGCACCAAGAGGCACUAUCCAGGAGAGCCUAAUUAUGGAGGCCAGCAGUUUGGACCCAACGGCCAGUUUCCCAACCAGCAAGGGCAGUACCCUAACCCAAACGCUUCUAGAGCCCUUCCUUCACCCAAUUACCCUGGCCAAAGGAUGCCAGGACAACAGGGCUCUGGCCAGUACCCCCCUACUGGGGUAGCCAUGGGCCAAUACUAUAAGCAAGAGCCAUUUAAUGGUCAGAACAACAAUUUCUCUGGUGGUGGUUAUGGGUAUAGUCAAGGAAAUGGGCCUCCUCGGCAGGUGGUGAACUACCCACACUCGCCAGUUCCUGGGAACCCCACGCCACCCAUGACCCCUGGAAGUAGUAUACCAUACAUGUCGCCCAGUCAAGAUGUCAAGCCCCCGUUUCCUCCAGACAUGAAGCCAAACAUGACGUCUUUGCCUCCACCUCCAACCAACCCCAAUGAGGAGCUGCGUUUGACGUUCCCAGUGAGAGACGGAGUGGUGCUGGAGCCCUUUAGAUUAGAGCACAACCUGGCCGUCAGUAACCACGUCUUCCAUCUGCGCCCCUCCGUCCACCAGACGCUUAUGUGGAGAUCUGAUCUGGAGCUGCAGUUUAAGUGCUAUCAUCAUGAGGACCGACAAAUGAACACCAAUUGGCCCGCAUCCGUCCAAGUCAGCGUCAAUGCCACCCCCCUCACUAUUGAGAGGGGCGACAAUAAAACAUCCCACAAACCCCUGCAUCUAAAGCAUGUGUGUCAGCCAGGGAGAAACACCAUCCAGAUUACGGUCACAGCCUGCUGUUGUUCGCACUUGUUCGUGCUGCAGCUGGUCCAUAGGCCUUCGGUGCGAUCGGUCCUGCAAGGGCUCCUCAAGAAGAGGCUCCUUCCUGCCGAACAUUGCAUUACCAAAAUUAAAAGAAACUUCAGUAGCGUAGCAGCGUCCUCUGGGAAUGCCACACUAAAUGGAGAGGAUGGAGUAGAGCAGACAGCCAUCAAAGUGUCCCUCAAGUGUCCAAUCACAUUCCGACGGAUCCAGCUCCCUGCUAGGGGACAUGACUGCAAACACGUGCAGUGCUUUGACUUAGAGUCCUAUCUUCAGCUCAACUGUGAGAGAGGAACGUGGAGAUGUCCUGUAUGCAAUAAAACAGCAUUAUUGGAAGGGCUGGAGGUGGAUCAGUACAUGUGGGGAAUUCUCAAUGCGAUCCAAAAUUCGGAGUUUGAAGAGGUCACCAUCGACCCUACGUGUAGUUGGAGGCCGGUGCCCAUAAAGUCAGACAUUCAUAUAAAGGAGGACCCAGAUGGCCCUCUGGCCAAGCGUUUUAAGACCAUGAGUCCCAGUCAAAUGAUCAUGCCUAAUGUGUUGGAUAUGAUCGCCCAGCUGGGUCCCGGCCCUUCACCCUACACCCCCCUCCCCCCUCAGCACGGAGGAAAUAAUGGCGAAUAUGGGGGCCAUGGUAGAGGCAAUAGUUAUCAGGGCCAUGGAAACUUUGACUUCUCCCACAGUAACUCUGGUGGCGGAACUCCCAUGAAUGACUUCAUGCAUGGACCCCAGCUCUCACAUCCUCCAGACAUGCCCAGCAGCCUCAUGGGCCCUGACAAGCCUCUCGCCCACGGCAUGCCCGACUCGAUGCCCCGUCCUGUGAGCGCUGAUCAAUCCCAUGCUUCCAUGCAGCCAGGCAUGCACGCAUCCCCUCACCCCAACAGCCAAUCAGCUCAGCCAUUGCAUCACAGCGGCCCCCCAUCCUCCCAGCACCCACGCCAGCCCCCGCCCCCCCAGCAGCCAGGCCAAAACAGUCACCCACAUGCCGAAAUGACCUUCAACCCCGCCGCUGAUGGGCAGGCAGGUGGCCAGGGACCUGCAGACAUGCCCGAGCCUUCUCUGGAUCUUCUGCCAGAACUGGCGAACCCAGACGAGUUGCUGUCAUACUUAGACCCUCCUGACCUCCCAAGCAGCAGCAAUGACGAUCUGCUUUCCCUUUUUGAGAACAACUGACUUCUUUCAGUCGGCCUUUUGCAGAGGCCCUAAUUUGUUUGGCUGUCAGGAAUCGAGAGGCACCUGAAGACUGACUCUGUACUUUGCAAACAGGAAACAGCCAUCCUUUUGCCUCUUCCUCGU
Long non-coding RNA from Cyprinus carpio (common carp), 3939 nucleotides. The record is from Ensembl. NCBI's taxonomy places the organism in Eukaryota, Metazoa, Chordata, Actinopteri, Cypriniformes, Cyprinidae.